CAAUAGCGUAUAUUCAAGUUGUUGCAGUUAAAAGCUCGUAGUUGAAUUUUGGCGCUGGUUGUGUGGUUUGGACUCACGUUCAACACUUCAGGACUGGGGCGUUUCCUUCUAGGGAACUAGUGUGCCAUUAAUUUGGUGGGCUAGGGAUCUAGGACUGUUACUUUGAAAAAUUAGAGUGUUUAAAACAGGCUUAUGCUUGAAUACAUUAGCAUGGAAUAACGGAAUAGGACUUUGUCUUAUUUUGUUGGUUUAGGAGACAAAGUAAUGAUUAAUAGGGGACGGUUGGGGCAGUUAUGUAUUCAACAGUCAGAGGUGAAAUUCUUGGAUUUGUUGAAGACUAACUUCUGCGAAAGCAUUUGUCAUGCACGCUUUCAUUAAUCAGGAACGAAAGUUAGGGGAUCGAAGAUGAUCAGAU
Molecule: ribosomal RNA, 415 nt
Filed under: uncultured eukaryote
Lineage: Eukaryota
Description: SSU rRNA
Rfam family: Eukaryotic small subunit ribosomal RNA
Source: RNAcentral